UACGUAUGGUGCAAGCGUUAUCCGGAUUUACUGGGUGUAAAGGGAGCGCAGGCGGUCUGGCAAGUCUGAUGUGAAAGCCCGGGGCUCAACCCCGGGACUGCAUUGGAAACUGUCAAACUAGAGUGUCGGAGAGGUAAGUGGAAUUCCUAGUGUAGCGGUGAAAUGCGUAGAUAUUAGGAGGAACACCAGUGGCGAAGGCGGCUUACUGGACGAUAACUGACGCUGAGGCUCGAAAGCGUGGGGAGCAAACAGG
This 253-nucleotide ribosomal RNA is filed under the name Roseburia faecis M72/1. RNAcentral's name for it is "partial 16S ribosomal RNA". It matches the Rfam family "Bacterial small subunit ribosomal RNA", at positions 524 to 776 of the family's 1533-position model. Lineage: Bacteria; Bacillati; Bacillota; Clostridia; Lachnospirales; Lachnospiraceae. The record is from RNAcentral.